RNAcentral lists this ribosomal RNA (422 nucleotides) under uncultured bacterium. RNAcentral's name for it is "partial 16S ribosomal RNA". It matches the Rfam family "Bacterial small subunit ribosomal RNA", at positions 355 to 769 of the family's 1533-position model. The record is from RNAcentral.
UGGGGAAUAUUGCACAAUGGGCGCAAGCCUGAUGCAGCCAUGCCGCGUGUGUGAAGAAGGCCUUCGGGUUGUAAAGCACUUUCAGCGAGGAGGAAGGGUUCAGUGUUAAUAGCACUGUUCAUUGACGUUACUCGCAGAAGAAGCACCGGCUAACUCCGUGCCAGCAGCCGCGGUAAUACGGAGGGUGCAAGCGUUAAUCGGAAUUACUGGGCGUAAAGCGCACGCAGGCGGUUUGUUAAGUCAGAUGUGAAAUCCCCGCGCUUAACGUGGGAACUGCAUUUGAAACUGGCAAGCUAGAGUCUUGUAGAGGGGGGUAGAAUUCCAGGUGUAGCGGUGAAAUGCGUAGAGAUCUGGAGGAAUACCGGUGGCGAAGGCGGCCCCCUGGACAAAGACUGACGCUCAGGUGCGAAAGCGUGGGGAGC